UAGAGUAAUGCGUGACCAACCUGCCCCAUGCUCCAGAAUAGCUCUUGGAAACGGGUGGUAAUGCUGGAUGCUCCAACUUGACGCAUGUCUUGUUGGGAAAGUGUUAGUGGCAUGGGAUGGGGUCGCGUCCUAUCAGCUUGUAGGCGGGGUAAUGGCCCACCUAGGCUUCGACGGGUAGCCGGCCUGAGAGGGCGACGGCCACAUUGGGACUGAGAUACGGCCCAGACUCCUACGGGAGGCAGCAGCA
This 247-nucleotide ribosomal RNA is filed under the name uncultured Gardnerella sp. Its description in RNAcentral is "partial 16S ribosomal RNA". It matches the Rfam family "Bacterial small subunit ribosomal RNA", at positions 107 to 355 of the family's 1533-position model. Lineage: Bacteria; Bacillati; Actinomycetota; Actinomycetes; Bifidobacteriales; Bifidobacteriaceae. The record is from RNAcentral.